RNAcentral lists this long non-coding RNA (245 nucleotides) under Manacus vitellinus (golden-collared manakin). RNAcentral's name for it is "lncRNA (ENSMVIG00005012979.1)". Lineage: Eukaryota; Metazoa; Chordata; Aves; Passeriformes; Pipridae. The record is from RNAcentral.
CCUGAGUAUCUCCUAGAGCAGGAUGCUUGCAGUCUAUUAAAAGCUAUUUUUGGACUUGGGGAAGAAGGAGGUUGCAUUUUUGUCCAUGGAUCCAACUCCAUGGCCACUGUGCUGUUUCUGAGCUGAAUCUUAAGCAGUAAGAAGCACCACAAGAUAAAGCAGCAGAGAUGAAACUGCCUGAACUUUUGUCCUAAUCCAAAGUUAAAAAAAAAAUCCAGGUAAUUUUUUAUUCAGGUUUGCAGUUU